This is a non-coding RNA of Sus scrofa (pig), 4968 nucleotides long. The record is from RefSeq and is a predicted model, not a curated record. NCBI's taxonomy places the organism in Eukaryota, Metazoa, Chordata, Mammalia, Artiodactyla, Suidae.
CGCCACAGCCACGGCAAUGCCAGAUCCAAGCCUCGUCUGCAACCUAAGUACAGCUCACAGCAAAGCCGGAUCCUGAACCUACUGAGCGAGGCCAGGGAUCGAACUCGCAACCUCAUGGUUCCUGGGCUUGAAAAUGCAACUGACAAAGUUUAACAAGAGAAAGGCAUAUACAUUUAUGUAAUAGGUUUUAUGUGACACAGAUGCCGUCAUAAGGAAAUGAAGACCCAAACAACAAACUUGAAUAAGUUGGGCUGGCUUCGAUGAGGAGCACAGUGUGUCAGAGUAAGAGGUAUGUGUCCUAAGCUGGGGAAACGUAGCCAAGCCUGUUUGCUAGGAUUCUUCCUGGUGUCCUUUAUCUCCAUGGGUCAGGAUGCUUUGUUCCCCUGGGUGCAGGAAGGGCCCCUUUCACAGGAGGCCUGCUUGGGGAAGAAAGAGGAAGGAGGAAGAGAUCAGAGUGCACUUCCAGCUUCUGCUGUUUUUGUCAAACUCCUUCGGUUUAAGAUAUUCAGUAAGCCAGGGUGCCAUAGGAAAAGGCUGAACAUGAAGAUACUUAACCACAGCUGCUCUGGAGGAUGAUGCUAUCGUCUCUGUGUACCUGUUUGUAUCUCCUGCCUUUCUAGAACUAGUCCUGACUUGCUUUUAUAAAAAGGAACACGUCAUACAAGUUUGUUUAAAUUUUUUUUAAAAAGCUGUAAUCUUUCUGGCAAGGGUGUUAGAAACCUGGGGAUAUUUCGAGCUCUCCUCUUUAUUCACCAAAUGAUGAAACACUAGAAUGAAGGGACACUAGGAUGAAGGGACACUCUUUCUUUUUUUUUUGGCCACAUGCAAAAGUUCCUGGGUCAGGGAUUGAACAGACAAUGCUGGGUCCUUAACCUGAUGAGCUGCCAGGGAGCUCCCUAAGGGACACUAUUUCUAAGUGAUAUUUAAUGAGGGCAAAAUGAGAAGAUACCAGAUUGAUGAAUGUUUUUGGCUGUGACAUGCAGCAGCCUGAUGUGGGAUACCAGGGAUUGAACCCGGGCCACUGUGGUGAAAGCACCACGUCCUAACCACUAAACCACCACAGAACUCUCCACGAACUUCUCAAUAUGAAGACACAGACAAUACAUAUUUAAAAGAUUCAAAUGAAUCAGAACCAAUUAAAAAAAUGCCAGGUGCACACACGGUGAACAGAAAAAGCCAACCCGCAGGUAACCUUUAGCUUUUCCACUCCUGGAAUGGCCUUUGGGUACCUAUGUCAACUCAGUAUCUUGAGAGAUUAGAGAUCUGACAUACCUAUCUCUUUCGUCUUGGCAGGCAUCCGGGAGAACUUGUUCCAUCCUAGCCUUAGCUGACCUUGUUGUCACAACUUGAAGGUGAAGUUUGCAUAUUCCCUCUUCACCCAGCAAGCGACUUUAAGGAAAGAAAAAUUAGUUUGGGGGACUGCAGGGCUGUCUACUUGGCAUCCAUGCCCCCUUUUUGGGUGGCAGGGCACUCUCGUCUUCCUUUGCUACCCUCCGUUGCUGCAGCAUAGGCGAGGCAUCGGCACCCUCCUGCUCCCUGAUAAACCCAUGACCCAGGCCUGGCCAACGAGCACAUCUUCUCUCUCAAGCUAGGAGGGCUUCAGCAAUGGUCUAGUCCCAUCAGAGAGAUUACAAAGAAGGAGCUCUUGAUAGAGAUUUCUUCACCCAGCUUUCUCAGCUGGGAGAAUGGAAGCCUGGGAUUGUGGAACGAUCCUGCCGAAGAAUGAAGGCCAAAGAGCAUAGCAGAGCCACAGGUGGAAGAAGGCAGGAAGGCUUUGGGGUUGGGCACCAAGUUCUGGGGCUUCCAGGUCUGUGUGUGCCAGACCAAAGUGACCACUGGAACUUUCAACAGUGUGUGAGUGUGUGGCAAUAAUUUCCUUUUUUUUUUUUUUUUUGGUUUAAGCAAGUUUGUAUUGGAGCUAUUUCACUUACAACCAAUGGGGUCCUGAUUAAUAUACUGGCAUAAUACUUAUUGAACAUUCCUCAAAUAGCAGACUUUGUGUAAGUCCUUCAUAUGUAUUGUCUUAUUUAAUUCUUACAAUAGUCCUUUUUAUCUUUUGAGGAAAAAAAAAAAAAAAACCCUGAGGCCCAGAAAGGUUAAGUAACUAUAGCACAAGAUCCCCUGCAAGUAGUAGAAACAGAUUCAAACCCAGAUAAGCCCUUCUUUCUUAGCCAGUAUACUACCAACUUGGCAGUGAUACUUGAUGAAAUUGAAACCGACAGCUGGUGGGGCGCUCAUUUUUACAAAGGGUGGUCCUGAGGAUAAUGAGAAUUUAGUAAGCGUAGCCACUUUGGGGGGUUACAUUUUCUUCACCUUCAGUGGAGCAGUCAGUACUCCUGUUACUACUUGGUUUUGUUGUCAACUCCCAGGCAGUGUUUACAGUAGAAUCUCAAGCCUCUUCCUUGUAUAGUCACAGAGUCUGGUGGAAAGGAAUUGACCUGUAGAUGCAUAUCCUCCAGUGGCUCUGGGGCUCCUUGGGCUACACAGGAGGGGACAUGGAGCGAAAGUGUGGGCCCUUUAAGGAUUAAGGAGGAGCCGCAGGCCACUCUGGUGGUGUGUUGUCACAAACCAGAGCGGGCUUUCUUUUCAAUCAUGAAGUGAACCUCAGGAGAUGUAUCAGUUCUGCACAGCUCCUUUCUCAGGUACUUUGCUUACACUUUGCAUAAGAGAAGGGUUUGCUCGUCAAGCUGGAAGAAAACAAGACCUCCCCUGCUGCCUCAAAGUACAAGCCUGGGUUAGCAUCCUGGAAGCAUGACAAGGAGUUGCCAGCUGUGCCCGCUGGGCCAACCUAGACCAGUCUACAGGAAGUCAUCCCACAGGACAGAGGCACAGUCAGUCUUCUGCUCCUUUGUUAUCCCUGUGACAUCUACUGACCUUCACCUGGCCAUUCUCUGGAGCAAAAACGUGCAGAAGAGAAUAGCAGUGAGCAGACAGACAAGGAGACAAGGGGGAAAGAUCUCUAUACUCCCAUUGGUCCUGCUUCUCUGGAGACCCUAAUAUACCUACGCAUGAAAGUUAUGCUUCCACUGCACUGAGGCAUCAAAACCUGUCUGGCACAGAAUCCCUGCACUUGAAUGGAGUGGCAUGUGGAGUUCCUGGACCAGCGAUCAGAUCAGGCUGCAGUGGAGCUGCAGUUGUGGCAUUCACAGCACCUGCAACAAUGCAACAAUGCUGGAUCCUUAACCCACUGUGCCAGAUGUGGGGUCGGAUCUGCCUCCCAGACCUCCGGAGAGGCUGCCAAUCCUAUUAUGCCACAGCAGAAACUCCCCAAAAGGUCAUGAGAGUUCUUAUUUUCCUCUCAGCUGUUCCCUCCUCCAUGGCUAAGAUCCGCCACAUGUGACAUGAUUCGAAUUCUACCCAAGAGCACGGGGAGAGAAUUUCCUGUCUGUUCUCAAGUAGCUGUUUUGUGUAAGACAAGAUCAUGUCACUUGCAAAUAGAAGUAGUUUUACGUCUUCCUCAAGGGCAGCUGGAGGGAGAACAAGUUCACUAGGUCUUCACUUGACUGUUCCAGAGAUCCAUUUCCCUGAGAAGAUUUUAAAUAAAUGAAAACCAGGUACUGGAUACAAAUAUGAACACAUUAAAGAUGUGCUGGAUUCACAAUGCGAGAAACGGCAGAUGUUAUAACUGAUCCAAAGAGGAUCCAAUGAAUAGUAACUGAUUCUUGAAUGGUGAUCCUGCCAGCAGGAAGAAGGAAAGGACAUUAAGAUAGAAGGAAUGGCAUAUACAAAACAUCCAUGGCAUAAAGAAACAACCAGUUCAGUGGCAAGAAAUAUCCAGAUCCUUCUUGGUAGGCCAGGGUACUUUUGGCAAGAGAACAUUCCUCUGUACUAAGGUCCAGACCUAGUAGUCCUUGUCCAGGGUAGACCAGAUCCUUCUUGGUAGGCCAGGGUACUUUUGGCAAGAGAACAUUCCACUGCACUAAGGUCCAGACCUAGUAGUCCUUGUCCAGGGUAGGAUAACUUGAGACAGUAUAGGGAGGUUUUGAAACACAGUAAAAGAAUGCAUCCAAAGUAAGCAAAAAGCAAUGCCAGUGGUCAAGUCUGAAGAGCCAGCUGAAGCUGUGGGUGGGCUAAUGAGUAAUGCAGUAAAAAGUAAUAGGGAUUGAAGUGUGUCAAACGCAGAUCUAGAAAUAAGUUGGAGGGAAGGGCAUUUUAUUUCGAUCGUGAUUGGCACCACUGAAAGUGGAUGAGAGACAAGAAGGAAAAGUACCAGUUAGAAAGCACUGCAAAAUUUAAGUAGAUGAUAACGACCUGAAAUAAGACAGCAAUACUGGGUUCAAGUGUGAGAAAAAUUUAGGAAGCAAACUGCAUCACACUUGAUAAACAAUGGAUAUGUGAUUGAGAAGAUAGUUGUAAAAAUGCUGCCGUGGUGCCCAGGAACAACACCUUGCAGAGUUUGGGAUACAGACUAAACCUGUGACUGGUAUAUAUUGACCCAACAGCUAGAGCAUCAGGAGUCUGAGAAGCAAAGAAAGGAAGUAACAUUAGCCUCUAUCAUCAUUCUUAAUGAACAACCCAUCUGUUUGUUUAUAUUUCCCGUCACCUUUGGUUCUGCCAAAUUAGAGGUCCAAAUUCUCAGUGGGGGAAUGUUUGUAUUAGUGGACAUAUAAGUCCAUCAGUGGACUGAAAUAGAAGGCAUGACUUGAAGCUACCACAUCACUUUGAGAUCCUUGUGCUAGUGCCUUGCAGAUAAAGAUCCAGGUAAAAAUGACCCUGACAGUAAAUAAUGCUGGAAUGUGAUUAAUUCUCAAAGAGAAAAACAUAAAAGAAUGCUGCAGAAAUCUAGAUGAUGGGGAAGUUUGGAAAUGCAGAAGUGUAAAGAUAAAAGGCCAAAAGAUUGGGCAAUGCAUAAAGGCUAAUCAGAACAAAUAAUAAUGAGAGAGCUACAUAUUUUAUUGUAUCAAAAUAUUGUCAAAUACCCCUUUGAAAGUGUGUCUGCUGGAAAUAAAGGUGCAUCUGUGUACAAUC